RNAcentral lists this ribosomal RNA (253 nucleotides) under uncultured bacterium. RNAcentral describes it as "partial 16S ribosomal RNA". It matches the Rfam family "Bacterial small subunit ribosomal RNA", at positions 524 to 776 of the family's 1533-position model. The record is from RNAcentral.
UACGUAGGGGGCGAGCGUUAUCCGGAUUCACUGGGUGUAAAGGGAGCGUAGACGGCCAAGCAAGCCAGGGGUGAAAGCCCGGGGCCCAACCCCGGGACUGCCCUUGGAGCUGCAUGGCUGGAGUGCGGGAGGGGCAGGCGGAAUUCCUGGUGUAGCGGUGAAAUGCGUAGAUAUUAGGAGGAACACCAGUGGCGAAGGCGGCUUACUGGACUGUAACUGACGUUGAGGCUCGAAAGCGUGGGGAGCAAACAGG